Triticum aestivum (bread wheat) is the source of this 115-nucleotide non-coding RNA. NCBI's taxonomy places the organism in Eukaryota, Viridiplantae, Streptophyta, Magnoliopsida, Poales, Poaceae. The record is from Rfam.
CUUGUACUCCCUCUGUCCGAAAAUACUUGUCAUUGAAAUGGAUGUAUCUAGAUGUAUUUUAGUUCUAGACACAUCCAUUUUGAUGACAAGUAAUUCCGGAAGGAGGGAGUACUUG